RNAcentral lists this ribosomal RNA (527 nucleotides) under uncultured bacterium. Its description in RNAcentral is "bacterial SSU rRNA". It matches the Rfam family "Bacterial small subunit ribosomal RNA", at positions 114 to 663 of the family's 1533-position model. The record is from RNAcentral.
CGCGUGGGCAACCUGCCCUGCUACAGAGGGACAACGACGGGAAACCGUUGCUAAUACCUCAUAAAACUCUAAAGGGGCAUCCCUUAUGGGUCAAAGAAUUUCGGUACAGGAUGGGCCCGCGUCUGAUUAGCUAGUUGGUGAGGUAAUGGCUCACCAAGGCGACGAUCAGUACCGACCUGAGAGGGUGAUCGGCCACACUGGAACUGAGACACGGUCCAGACUCCUACGGGAGGCAGCAGUGGGGAAUAUUGCACAAUGGGGGAAACCCUGAUGCAGCAACGCCGCGUGAGCGAUGAAGGCCUUCGGGUCGUAAAGCUCUGUCCUAAGGGAACAAAUUUGACGGUACCUUAGGAGGAAGCCCCGGCUAACUACGUGCCAGUCAGCCGCGGUAAUACGUAGGGGCAAGCGUUAUCCGGAAUCACUGGGCGUAAAGGGUGCGUAGGCGGUCUUACAAGUCAGGGGUGAAAGCUACGCUCACCGUAGUUAAGCCUUUGAAAACUGUAGACUUAGUGCAGGAGACGAAAGUU